CCAACCCGAUGCAAACUGCGAAUACCGGAGAAUGUUAUCACGGGAGACACACGGCGGGUGCUAACGUCCGUCGUGAAGAGGGAAACAACCCAGACCGCCAGCUAAGGUCCCAAAGUCAUGGUUAAGUGGGAAACGAUGUGGGAAGGCCCAGACAGCCAGGAUGUUGGCUUAGAAGCAGCCAUCAUUUAAAGAAAGCGUAAUAGCUCACUGGUCGAGUCGGCCUGCGCGGAAGAUGUAACGGGGCUAAACCAUGCACCGAAGCUGCGGCAGCGACACUCAGGUGUUGUUGGGUAGGGGAGCGUUCUGUAAGCCUGCGAAGGUGGCCUGUGAGGGUUGCUGGAGGUAUCAGAAGUGCGAAUGCUGACAUAAGUAACGAUAAAGCGGGUGAAAAGCCCGCUCGCCGGAAGACCAAGGGUUCCUGUCCAACGUUAAUCGGGGCAGGGUGAGUCGACCCCUAAGGCGAGGCCGAAAGGCGUAGUCGAUGGGAAACGGGUUAAUAUUCCCGUACUUGGUGUUACUGCGAAGGGGGGACGGAGAAGGCUAUGUUGGCCGGGCGACGGUUGUCCCGGUUUAAGCGUGUAGGUGUGUGUUCCAGGUAAAUCCGGUUCACUUUAACACUGAGGCGUGAUGACGAGGCACUACGGUGCUGAAGCAACAAAUGCCCUGCUUCCAGGAAAAGCCUCUAAGCAUCAGGUAACAUCAAAUCGUACCCCAAACCGACACAGGUGGUCAGGUAGAGAAUACCAAGGCGCUUGAGAGAACUCGGGUGAAGGAACUAGGCAAAAUGGUGCCGUAACUUCGGGAGAAGGCACGCUGACACGUAGGUGAAGUGAUUUACUCAUGGAGCUGAAGUCAGUCGAAGAUACCAGCUGGCUGCAACUGUUUAUUAAAAACACAGCACUGUGCAAACACGAAAGUGGACGUAUACGGUGUGACGCCUGCCCGGUGCCGGAAGGUUAAUUGAUGGGGUCAGCGCAAGCGAAGCUCCUGAUCGAAGCCCCGGUAAACGGCGGCCGUAACUAUAACGGUCCUAAGGUAGCGAAAUUCCUUGUCGGGUAAGUUCCGACCUGCACGAAUGGCGUAAUGAUGGCCAGGCUGUCUCCACCCGAGACUCAGUGAAAUUGAACUCGCUGUGAAGAUGCAGUGUACCCGCGGCAAGACGGAAAGACCCCGUGAACCUUUACUAUAGCUUGACACUGAACAUUGAGCCUUGAUGUGUAGGAUAGGUGGGAGGCUUUGAAGUGUGGACGCCAGUCUGCAUGGAGCCGGCCUUGAAAUACCACCCUUUAAUGUUUGAUGUUCUAACGUGGACCCGUGAUCCGGGUUGCGGACAGUGUCUGGUGGGUAGUUUGACUGGGGCGGUCUCCUCCUAAAGAGUAACGGAGGAGCACGAAGGUUGGCUAAUCCUGGUCGGACAUCAGGAGGUUAGUGCAAUGGCAUAAGCCAGCUUGACUGCGAGCGUGACGGCGCGAGCAGGUGCGAAAGCAGGUCAUAGUGAUCCGGUGGUUCUGAAUGGAAGGGCCAUCGCUCAACGGAUAAAAGGUACUCCGGGGAUAACAGGCUGAUACCGCCCAAGAGUUCAUAUCGACGGCGGUGUUUGGCACCUCGAUGUCGGCUCAUCACAUCCUGGGGCUGAAGUAGGUCCCAAGGGUAUGGCUGUUCGCCAUUUAAAGUGGUACGCGAGCUGGGUUUAGAACGUCGUGAGACAGUUCGGUCCCUAUCUGCCGUGGGCGCUGGAGAACUGAGGGGGGCUGCUCCUAGUACGAGAGGACCGGAGUGGACGCAUCACUGGUGUUCGGGUUGUCAUGCCAAUGGCACUGCCCGGUAGCUAAAUGCGGAAGAGAUAAGUGCUGAAAGCAUCUAAGCACGAAACUUGCCCCGAGAUGAGUUCUCCCUGAGACUUUAGGUCUCCUGAAGGAACGUUGAAGACGACGACGUUGAUAGGCCGGGUGUGUAAGCGCAGCGAUGCGUUGAGCUAACCGGUACUAAUGAACCGUGAGGCUUAACCUUACA
RNAcentral lists this ribosomal RNA (2013 nucleotides) under Salmonella enterica. Its description in RNAcentral is "partial 23S ribosomal RNA". It matches the Rfam family "Bacterial large subunit ribosomal RNA", at positions 939 to 2925 of the family's 2925-position model. The record is from RNAcentral. Lineage: Bacteria; Pseudomonadati; Pseudomonadota; Gammaproteobacteria; Enterobacterales; Enterobacteriaceae.